Long non-coding RNA from Lonchura striata (white-rumped munia), 1713 nucleotides. Lineage: Eukaryota; Metazoa; Chordata; Aves; Passeriformes; Estrildidae. The record is from Ensembl.
GGGUCCCUGUCGCGACAGGGGGGGCUCACAGCGAUGCGGCGCCCACUCGUGGUCCCGCUCCUGUCGCGAUACAGGGGCACUGUCGCGACAGGAGCGUCCAUCUUCAUCUUCAUCCAGGGUCCUGCCAGGAUCGGAGCCCUUGCAGAGCGUGGACAGACGUUCUUGUCGCGAUAGACCAUCCCUGUCGUGACACGGGGCACCCCCAUCCUGGUACUGUGGGUCACCCGGUGUGGGGCUCUGGGACAAUGGGGGGGGUCCCUGUCACGACAUGUGGGGCCCUAUUACCAAAAGGGGUCCCUGUCACAACAUGGAAUCGCCCCCGCCCUCGUACCAUGGGUCCCCCAAAACCAUGUGAACACGUGGGGGGAUUCCUGUCGUGAUAAUGGGUCCUUAUCACAAUACGGGGGCUCCUAUCGCGAUAUGAGGUCCCUGUCGGGAUACAGGGGUCUCCCUUUCCUCUGGAUUUCCAGAUCCCCAAGUCAAGGAGGAGAAACGGGUGGGGUUCUCCACCACAACAUGGGGCUCCCUGUCGUGAUAUGGGGGGUCUGUGUCGGGACAGGACCCCAGGCCAGCAGCAGCGGCGCCGCGGGGAGUCGAACCCCGCCCCGGGGGGUCCCGGGGGUGCCACCACCGGCGCCUUUUGCUUUUUUUUCGGCCUUUUUGGGUCCAGAGGAGAAAAAGCAAAACCUGAGAAAACGGGGUAAAGUUUUCUCAGGAAAAGAAAAAACCUCCCGAAACGGGGAAAAAAAAAAAGCAAAAAAAACCUCCCCAAAACGGGUCCGGCCCCGCCCCAAGCGACUUGGGGCAAAAUGUGGGGAAUUUGGGGCCGGAGCGCACCCGAAAACGGGCGGUUUGGGGGGUUUGGGACCCACCACGCGUCCCUGGCGCAAUUUGGGCGGAGAAACGGGAAUUUUGGGUCCGAGUCACGGCCCAGGCGCAAAACAAGACUCAGAAACGGAUUUGGGGUCACGGGCGCAUCCUGGUCGCAAAACGGGGCCGGGAGGAGGAAAUGAGGGCGCAAAAUGGGCUCAGACCGGCGGAUUUGGGGUUAAUCCCGCGCCCCCGGAGCACAGCGAGGUCCGAAAGGAGGAUUUGGGGUUGGCCGCGCGCCCCCGGCACGGGAUCGGCUCCGAAACGGGGUUUGGGGUCCAUCGCGCGCCCCCCUCGCGGCUCGGGCCGAGAACGGGCGAUUUUGGGGCUCGGCGCAUCCCGGGGCCCCGCCGGUACUUACUCUGCUGGCUCACCUGUCUUAUUUUGGGGGGAAUUUCUAGUUUUUUAAGCCUUUUUGGUUUUUUUUUUUUUUUUUUUUUUUUCUUUUUUUUUCUAUAAUUUUCUAUUUUCUUUUUUCUCUUUUUUGUUUUGUUCUAUUUUCUGUCUUUCUCUCCUUUUUUCCUCUCUUCUCUCUGCUCCUCCCCUGCCCAACUGCCGCCAUUUUACCAAAAAGUCCUUUUUUCCCCCCAGAUGGGGCCACUGCGAAGAAAAACUUUCCUUUCCCUGCCGAUUCCAUCUUCACUCUUCAGUUUUCCUGCUCUUCCCUCAAAAUUGGCUCCUCUCAAUCCAUCCUGCGUCUGAAAAUGCCGCAUUUCACCCCAAACCGGCCGCCCCCGCCUGCGCUGCCCGGCCCGGCCCCACGUGGGGACUAAAUUCCAUUAUUUUAAGCUUUAAGAGCUUUUUCUUAUUAAAAAAAUAAUAAAUUUAGGAGCUUUUUUAGCA